RNAcentral lists this ribosomal RNA (237 nucleotides) under uncultured bacterium. RNAcentral's name for it is "partial 16S ribosomal RNA". It matches the Rfam family "Bacterial small subunit ribosomal RNA", at positions 100 to 334 of the family's 1533-position model. The record is from RNAcentral.
CCGGCACGGGUGAGUAACGCGUAUCCAACCUGCCUUACACUCUUGGACAGCCUUCUGAAAGGGAGAUUAAUACAAGAUGGCAUCAUGAGUCCACAUGUUCACAUGAUUAAAGGUAUUCCGGUAGACGAUGGGGAUGCGUUCCAUUAGAUAGUAGGCGGGGUAACGGCCCACCUAGUCUUCGAUGGAUAGGGGUUCUGAGAGGAAGGUCCCCCACAUUGGAACUGAGACACGGUCCAA